Hermetia illucens (black soldier fly) is the source of this 554-nucleotide long non-coding RNA. RefSeq lists it as uncharacterized. The transcript is spliced from 3 exons. Lineage: Eukaryota; Metazoa; Arthropoda; Insecta; Diptera; Stratiomyidae. The record is from RefSeq and is a predicted model, not a curated record.
AGUUGAUAGCUGCAAUGUUAGUCUCACGCCGAAGCUUUAAUCGGGGAAAGCCGCGUAAGAAAAGUAAGGUUUAAAAAUCGCAGUUUUACGUGUUUGGUAUAAUUACACAAUUACAAUUAUCCGGGAGUGACUCUUACGGUGAAGUGGUAGUUUAAACGUGUUUGUGUGUGUGUGUGGGUGGGUGUUUUGCUGCGACAGUCGUCUUCAGAAAGGAUAGUAAAAUCCCGAGGAAAACAUUGUGAUUAAUUUAGGCGUUUUCUUCUGCGUCCGUUCGCAUUUUCAAAAUAGUAAAAUCCCGAGGACAAUAAUAUCUUGUGCGUACGUUUGUAUUUGCAAGUAAGUGAAUAUUGUGGUGAUUUAAAAAAAAAAUACUGUAGAUAUUUUCCCCUGCAGGAAAGUAAUAGAUCGAGGGUAAUAUUUUACCUUAUUCUAAGAUUUUCGUGCGCGACAUCUUGUUGUUACAGGUAAGUGAAUAUUGUGUAGACUUUAUAAAAAAUAGUGAAGAUAUUUUUUCCUGCAGGAAAGUUUGAGAAAAAUAUUCUGGCUUAUUCGAG